UCUAUAGUUGAAUUACAACGAUGAUUUUUCAUGUCAUUGGUCACAGUUGAAUGCUGUGUAGAAAUAAUG
RNAcentral lists this transfer RNA (69 nucleotides) under Leopoldamys edwardsi (Edwards's long-tailed giant rat). RNAcentral describes it as "tRNA-Glu". The record is from RNAcentral. Lineage: Eukaryota; Metazoa; Chordata; Mammalia; Rodentia; Muridae.